GAUGAACGCUGGCGGCGUGCUUAACACAUGCAAGUCGAACGAAGCAUUUAGGACAGAUUACUUCGGUUUGAAGUUCUUUAUGACUGAGUGGCGGACGGGUGAGUAACGCGUGGGUAACCUGCCUUGUACUGGGGGAUAGCAGCUGGAAACGGCUGGUAAUACCGCAUAAGCGCACAAUGUUGCAUGACAUGGUGUGAAAAACUCCGGUGGUAUAAGAUGGACCCGCGUCUGAUUAGCUAGUUGGUGAGAUAACAGCCCACCAAGGCGACGAUCAGUAGCCGACCUGAGAGGGUGACCGGCCACAUUGGGACUGAGACACGGCCCAGACUCCUACGGGAGGCAGCAGUGGGGAAUAUUGCACAAUGGAGGGAACUCUGAUGCAGCGACGCCGCGUGAGUGAAGAAGUAAUUCGUUAUGUAAAGCUCUAUCAGCAGGGAAGAUAGUGACGGUACCUGACUAAGAAGCUCCGGCUAAAUACGUG
This 481-nucleotide ribosomal RNA is filed under the name uncultured bacterium. RNAcentral describes it as "partial 16S ribosomal RNA". It matches the Rfam family "Bacterial small subunit ribosomal RNA", at positions 28 to 507 of the family's 1533-position model. The record is from RNAcentral.